CUGUCUCUGUCUGACACAUUCAUAGCAUGUCAAGCAUGCGCAGAACAAAAUCCUUCUUAUUUUCCGCGUUUCGGACACAACAUUUUUUACGACACAACUUUCGAACGAGUUUUUCUGUUUUCGGAACGAAUAUACAAGCAGAGGGGAAACGAUAGUGUUAAUGCCUAUAAGGUCCAGUUGGCCCUCAAGAAGAAGUAUUGCACCAAGCGGCUAAGUAUUGUACUGAUUGAACUCUAGUAUAGACAAAAACCACGCUAGUAUGUAACGUAUGUAUAACAAAAACCUAUUUAAUUCUAUGGUCGUACGUAAAAAUUCAUAUUUUUCUAUUCGAAAUAUACAAGUAUAAGAAUAACAGAAUCACAUAGUAAUCAAAAUGAGUUGGCCUAAGAAAGAGAAAUUAAUUUUUUAAUCUAUCGCAAUUUUUUAAUCUAUAUCGCAUCGCGUCGAUGUUUUUGUUAUAAUAAAACCUAAUUUCAUUUUAAUAGUAAUCUCACUAGUUGAUGGCCAGCGAAUAAUACAUAUUUCUGACGAAUCUGUUUGCAGAACAAAUUAACUGUAGAAAGAUUUCACACGUAACGAUUGAUUUGUUAUCCACGACUUUUACCCAUGUUACUUAUAUUACUGAGUAAAAUUUAUUAAUUCCAUGAAUUUUAUAUGAAUUCAAAUGUAACGGCACAAGGCAAAGAAGGAAGACGAGAAAAGACACUGUGUUAGUGUGCUAUGGUGUAUCAUGUUCGUGUUUCUAUACCCCUUACACCUAAGGUUUUGUCCUAACAGUUAGGAUCUAGCUCGCUCUAUCGCAUUAAGACAAGUUCGACCAACCGACCAGCAGUCAAAAGAAAAAGUUUAAUAAGCCCAUUCAAUGCUUCAUUUUAAUCAGGAAAAUUUUACCAAUAUGUUAAUGAAAUUUUUAUUAGCAAAAAAUUAAAAAUAAAAAUUUUUCGUCGUUGUAUUAGUAUUGCCUCACUGAUGCGAAAGCGAUCUUACUGUGCGACCUUCUUGAGUGUCUAGGAUUUAGUCAAUGUUUAGAGCACGCCAUGAAGCUAUCGACGAUCCUAGCCCUGGAACGCAGGACGUGCGAUGGCUGUCGAAUAAUAUUUGCGACUGGUUUUCAAAAUGUUUUUGUCUGUAGCAUUUACAUAUUAAUUAAUUAGGUAUAUUAAAUUUUGUGUCAUUUAGUAGUACUUUCAUAUGACUAUGGACUCAUGUAAGAAAAUACCAAAAGCGAAUUCAAGGGAGUCACGUUUACAGCACGCUUUAUAAAUUCGGAAAUGUCGAACUCGCGUGGUUUUAUUUUGACGUUCGUCCACGUCGACGAUUGUACGAAGGAUACUCGAAUAUACCAGGCAUCGCAGUUGCAAAAUGUCGGGACCCUCUGGUUUACAUUAUCGUACGGGGAGGGCUUAAUUUAUGACACCCUCAAAUGUUAAUGCUUCUCUUUUCCCGAGAAUGGCGAAGGCCAGGUGCCCGUCCCAGGCGUUCGAAUUUCAAUACAGUCGUAUAUUUUAAUAAAUAUAAGAAUAGACAAAUCACCUUGUGGGCCUUCGUGGGCAAACGUAACUGCCGUACCGACUUAGAAACUCGACAUUGAUUUAAGCAUCCUUUACUCAUAAACGAUGACCAUUUGAUAAAGUAUUUACUAAAAAAGAAUUAGUAGAGCCUAAUAGCACACAUGGCAAAUGUGUGUCCAGUGGAGAUGAUAGACAAUUACUUAGGUACUUCAGUAAUAUGUAUGUAUAUGUGUGUAUUGAAUUAGAGAUAUGUACAUAUAAAGAAAUAGAUGAGUGAGCAAAGCUGCGGCGACGACAUCUCGUAGGCGUAUCAGUAAUGAAAAUAAAAGGUAAAAAUCGUGGAUCACAAAUUAGUUAUAACAUUAAAUCUUGUCUGCAUAAAAUCAUACAAAAUAAAUAAAUCACGUCAGAAAUAUUAUUCGCAACCUAUCAACUACUGAAAUUACUAUAAAUAUUGAAUUAAAUAUUAAAUUAAUAAACUACAUUGAAAUAAUAUUUGAAUUUUUUAUAACAAAAAUAUCUCUACGAGGAAAGUAACUUUAAUGUUAAAUCUAAAAACUAUUAUGUAUGGAAAAUAUAUUAAAAUUACUGCACCAUUCCAUUGAUCCAUUACCGUUUCAGGGGAAAGAUUUUCUUUUCUUCUCCAAAAAAAUAUAAUAAGCUAAGUUAAGUUUAAUUAUUGUGCAAUUUUGUUAUUCUCGUACUUGUCUAUCUUGUAUAGAAUAGCAUGAACUUUUCUGUAGAACCACACAGUGAAAUAAGCUCUUGUAGUGUGGAACCACAGCGAGUAUACCUCGUUUGUGGUGGAACUAAACAGGUUCUUGUAUAUGCUAGCGUGAAACCAAACAGUGCAAAUCACUAACUUUAUCGGUUCUUGUAUAUACUAACGUGGAACGCCUUCAGCACUUGGCCGCUUGGUGCAGCACUUGUGUUGUGAAAUAACUAAAAUAAUGGGCGCGAGCUAUGGUCGUAUACACAAGUCUGGACUCCAGUGGAGGAGGUAAGGCUCUAAAUAUCGGAAGCUACGCUGUACAUAUCGGCCAUCAUGGAACACUGCAAUUGUGAAGUUACGAUUUUGUAUUCAACAUCAUCGUUAUAUAAACUAAAGAAUAUAAACUAAACCAUCGAGCUUACUCAAUGACUAAACUAAAUUAUUCUUCAUAAUUUUUCACAAUUUAUUUAAAAUAAGUAUGUAUACAGGGUUUCAUUUGGUACAGAAAACUGCUGUUUAAGUAAAUAUUAAUUGUAAAUCAUUAUUAAAUAUGUAUUAUUAUCUUUAAUAAAAAAAGGUAACAAAAUUGCGACCCCUAAAUUAAGUAUAUACACAUAUAUUUAAUGUAAUGUAAUGUUGUUUCGUAUAGUAAUUCGGCUGGUAAGGCUCCAACAUCUUUGAAUUUCUUCGUUCGUCUUUGUACGCGAUUUGUAUUCUAAGUAAAACGACUGGUAACAUCCCCACCCAAUUUUCAUUAUUAUGACAUCCUAAUGCGGUUUUCAAUGAGCGACGCUACCGUUCGACCAAUCCGUUUGACGCUAGGUGGUGGACAAUGGUUGGUACCCGUUGACAUCCGACGAUGGAGGACCUUGUCCUUGAAAACCCUAUCAGUUGUGAUAGUUUCCGAUAGUCCGAUCCUUUGUUUCUUGUGGGAUAAUAAAGGUAGUUGACUGUAGAUAACACUGAUAUUAACAGGUUAUUAUAUAUUUGAAUGCUCCAACAACUUCAGUGUGAUACAAGAAUGAUUUCUUGCUGGACUUCUGACUCUUGAUGUUCCUUGCACCAGCCUUUAACUGGUUCUUGACUUAGACUGACUGAGAUUUGACUGAAUAUAGACUAGAGCGCAAGGAGAAGAAGUAGAGUUGACCCUCCUGAUGAUAUAGACUCGAUCUAGACUGGAUGUAAACUGGAUGUGAAACUGGAUGUGAAACUGGAUGUGAAACUGGAUGUGAAACUGGAUGUGAAACUGAAUGUGAAACUGGAUGUAAAACUGGAUGUGAAACCGGAUGUGAAACUUGGUGUAAACUUGGUAUAAAACUUGGUGUAAAACUGGAUGUAAAACUAAGAACUAAAAAUAAGAGCGACAAGUCAGUUUUACACCAUGUUAUUACGGAAGAAAACUCGGUGUGCGUGUGCCCUUUGCACGAAGAACGCGGAUUCGUUGUUCACAAUUUUCGUUAGGAAAAGUGAGGGUAACGAUCCGCGAUAUCAAUUGGUUAUGACCCACUUUAAUGCCUGAAGGUAUGAGGAGGAAGCCUCCUACCAACGUGGCUCAUGGGUGGCCUUGUUCAUGGGAAAAAUCAGCCUUUUUGUUAGACAAAUAUUCGGUUUUUCCCAAUAGAUGACUACCCGUUUUCUCCGUGUUUGUAAGAGCGUGCAAUAGACCUAAGGACUGUUUUAAAUACCAGCUAUAAACCGAAAAUACUUGCAUAAUUAAAGGUUCCUGCAAGCUAAUAAGAUUCGGUUUGUGUUGGGGCCUUAGGUUUAUUGAGGGUCUGUCUAAGGAGGUUUGAGCCUUAACGGUCAUACAAUCAAGGACGUCGCACGGACCAUUUCACGCGACGUAACAUGCGGAUAUCAAUGAUUUUAAGACCCCAGCGAUUUCGUCCGUUUGUUAUGUUAGUCGUGACAAAUCUUGGACAUCACUGAUUGCAAGAAUCCCUCGAUCGUUAUUUGGAGGUUUUUGAAGGAUAAAAAUCCUAAAAACGCUCUCAUUACAUAACCCAUCCGCUAGAUUUCUUAAGCGUUAUAGAAAAUGGUUUUUCGUCUACAAGUUCAUUAUUGCGAAGAAGAUCCCUCAAUUUGAAUUCGCUAAACUCAUCAAACGAAGAAAUAAUACGCGGUUUCAGAGUCUCAUAUUUAUCUCUAGUCAAUGAGUUUCUAAAGAUUUUCGUGACAAAGGACAAAAGGUGUGUUAUCUUUUUGAUUGCGAAGGCCGCCUCAAUUUCUGUAAAUCACAAAAUUAAGGUUCUCUCUUCAAAAGAGAGAUUGUUUAACCAUCGACAAUGCGUCAACUGCGUUUCAUACAUUGCGUUUGUUAAAACUCUUUGAGGAAAUGUUUUACUUCUUGUCGGAGAAUGGUGUAAUGGCAUUUCGAAGAGAUCAUGUCGAGGUCACCAAUUUGUGGUGGUCUUGACAAUUAAUUCUAAUGAUUCAAUAACUCUUAUAAUGUAGUAAACUCUUUAUUUUAUAACUUAACUUAUUUAUUUAACACUUUAACGCUGAACUGAACUUACAAUAAAUUCCGAUCAAAUAUUAUUAUGUUUGACACGUCUCGAUACUUCAGAUUCUCGUCGCUAACUGACUACUUACAAAAAGAAUUACGUUAAUAAUAAAAUAGAAUAGUUAAAAUACAUGUACGAUGUGAUAAAAUAACAUAUAGUAAAGUAUAAAUAUAACAAGGUAUUAAUAAUUUUGAUAAUUAAAUUUUCUUUUUCGGUUGAUAAAGUAGAGAGUUUCUUUAAUUUGUUGGUACAGUUGGCAAAGUUGGUACAGCGUACCUUAAUCCAAAGUUAGCGUAAAGUGGCUCUGAAGUCCGCUGCAAUCAUAAUUUCUUAAUUGAAGCGCUUUCCUGCAGACAAAUUGAUCAACAUCAUUUGAUCACUAACCUACCACGAGAGUUUCCAAUCCUAUAUAUAGACCUAUAUAUGACCGAGAUCAGGAGUCCAGACCCCAAAUGUGGAACACGAAAAGGCAUUGAAUGUCACGGCUAUUAUGUACCUCGUCCGUCAUACUAUACAUUAUUAAUCCCAGUGAUAAUUUAUUUUAUUUAAAAUAUCUGUAUGUUCUAUAUAUUAUUAAAUAACUCCAAAAAGGAGUGAAGAAUAACUAAA
Molecule: long non-coding RNA, 5336 nt
Organism: Bombus huntii
Lineage: Eukaryota; Metazoa; Arthropoda; Insecta; Hymenoptera; Apidae
Exons: 2
Source: RefSeq, a predicted model, not a curated record